Long non-coding RNA from Salvelinus fontinalis (brook trout), 2663 nucleotides. RefSeq lists it as uncharacterized. The record is from RefSeq and is a predicted model, not a curated record. The transcript has 2 exons. NCBI's taxonomy places the organism in Eukaryota, Metazoa, Chordata, Actinopteri, Salmoniformes, Salmonidae.
UGAUUUGAAAUGAAAUCCGUUAUUUGCCGGUACCAACGUCAGACAGAAAACGAAUCCGUUAGCUACUGUAGCUAGCUAGUUUAUCAACCAAGCUUGCUAGUAUACAAUAUUAUUUAUUAUUGUCAUUACUUAACGUUAUUUAGCCAUUUAUUAAUUGUCCGCUAGCCAUCUGAUCGUGGCACGUCAAAUAUGUUCAAAUGUCUCCGUUUCUGAUGAGAAAAAAAAACUAUUAUCGGAGUUGGAGGAAUUUCGUAACGUACUGGAGGAUAAAAAGACAGACAACACGACUGUCAACAACAACAAAAAAGGAAGACACCUGGGUCAUGUUAUGCGACAAAUGUAAUAGAUCGACACGGAUUAAAGAGAAGAGGGACCCAAAUCGGAUGAAAGCGUGCUGGCGGGGGCUCUUACAGACGGGAGCCUGAGGGGGGGACUUCGUCCAAGGGAAUUCAUCAUAUCACUCAGAAGAUAUGCGAGAUUAUUCCCCAGCAGUUUGCCCCUCUCCGUAACCCCAAUGAUGACAACGGACAAUUUAACCCACCAAUAUUUAUGAUGCACAUCAACAAGAUCAACAACUAAUGCUAGCCAUUGGCCUGCUGGAGGUCAUUUUGCAGGGCUCUGGCAGUGCUCCUCCUUGCACAAAGGCGGAGGUAGCGGUCCUGCUGCUGGGUUGUUGUCCUCCUGCGGCCUCCUCCACGUCUCCUGAUGUACUGGCCUGUCUCCUGGUAGCGCCUCCAUGCUCUGGACACUACGCUGACAGACACAGCAAACCUUCUUGCCACAGCUCGCAUUGAUGUGCCAUCCUGGAUGAACUGCACUACCUGAGCCACUUGUGUGGGUUGUAGACUCCGUCUCAUGCUACCACUAGAGUGAAAGCACCGCCAGCAUUCAAAAGUGACCAAAACAUCAGCCAGGAAGCAUAGGACCUGAGAAGUGGUCUGUGGUCACCACCUGCAGAACCACUCCAUUAUUGGGGGUGUCUUGCUAAUUGCCUAUAAUUUCCACCUUUUGUCUAUUCCAUUUGCACAACAGCAUGUGAAAUUUAUUGUCAAUCAGUGUUGCUUCCUAAGUGGACAGUUUGAUUUCACAGAAGUGUGAUUGACUUGGAGUUACAUUGUGUUGUUUAAGUGUUCCCUUUAUUUUUUUGAGCAGUGUAUAUUGUGCAUCCCUAAUACAUACCCCAACCAGAAGCCAUGGAUUACAGGCAACAUCCGCACUGAGCUAAAGGCUAGAGCUGCCGCUUUCAAGGAGCGGGACUCUAACCCGGACGCUUAUAAGAAAUCCCGCUAUGCCCUCCGACGAACCAUCAAACAGGCAAAGCGUCAUUACAAGACUAAGAUCGAAUCGUACUACACCGGCUCCGACACCCGUCGGAUGUGGCAGGGCUUGCAAACUAUUAGACCACGAAGGGAAGCACAGCCGAGAGCUGCCCAGUGACACGAGCCUACCAGACGAGCUAAACCACUUCUAUGUUCGCUUCGAGGCAAGUAACACUGAAACAUGCAUGUGUGCUCAGUCCCCUCCUGUACUCCCUGUUCACUCAUGACUGCACGGACAGGCACAACUCUAACACCAUCAUUACGUUUGCAGACGACAACAGUGGUAGGCCUGAUCACUGACAACGACGAGACAGCCUAUAGGGAGGAGGUCAGAGACAUGGCCGUGUGGUGCAAAACAGCAACCUAUCCCUCUUCAUGAUCAAGACAAAGGAGAUGAUUGUGGACUACAGGAAAAAGAGGACCGAGCACGCCCCCAUUCUCAUCGACGGGGCUCUAGUGGAGCAGGUUGAGAGCUUCAAGUUCCUUGGUGUCCACAUCACCAACGAUCUAUCAUGGUCCAAACACACCAAGAUAGUCGUGAAGAGGGGACGACAAAGCCUAUUCCCCCUCAGGAGACUAAAAAGAUUUGACAUGGGUCCUCAGAUCCUCAAAAGGUUCUACAGCUGCAACAUCACUGCCUGGUACGGCAACUGCUCGGCCUCCGACCGCAAGGCACUACAGAGGGUAGUGUGAAUGGCCCAGUACAUCACUGGGGCCAAGCUUCCUGCCAUCCAGGACCAAGAAGCAGAGCUUCCACGUCUGUCAUGUCUUUGGAGAUAGUAGCAGAGCUUCCAUAUCUGUCAUGUCUUAUAAGAUAGAAGCAAAGCUUCCAUGCCUGUCAUGUCUUAGAAGCUAAAAGCAGAGCUUCCAUCUCUGUCAUGUCUUAGGAGCUAGAAGCAAAGCUUCCAUGUCUGUCAUGUCUUAGGAGAUAGAAGCAAAGCUUCCAUGUCUGUCAUGUCUUAGGUGAUAGAAGCAAAGCUUCCAUGUCUGUCAUGUCUUAGGAGCUAGAAGCAGAGCUUCCAUCUCUGUCGGCGCCAACUUAUUCCAUUUGUGAUGUUUGAACGUCUUACUAGAUUUCAAUAACUUUACUAUUUAUGUAUUAAAAAUGAUAUCAUUGUUGUUGAGUAAAAAACACUGUGUUUGAGUAAGAGGGAAAGAGAGAGAGAGGAAGAGAGAGAGAGAGAGAGGAAGAGAGAGAGAGAGAAAGAAAGAGAGUAAUGACACUGUAAAAUAAGUAAUUUGGCUCAACCAGUGUUUUUAAUGUUAAAAAACAACAUUCUUUUGUAUCAGAAAUGCAGAGAAGCUCAGACUAUAAGAGAAAAAUAAAUGUUUUGUUAAAUUUGA